UACGUAGGGGGCAAGCGUUAUCCGGAUUUACUGGGUGUAAAGGGAGCGUAGACGGCGUGCCAAGUCUGAUGUGAAAGGCCGGGGCCCAACCCCGGGACCGCUCUGGAAACUGCCCGGCUGGAGUGCGGGAGAGGUAAGCGGAAUUCCUAGUGUAGCGGUGAAAUGCGUAGAUAUUAGGAGGAACACCAGUGGCGAAGGCGGCUUACUGGACUGUAACUGACGUUGAGGCUCGAAAGCGUGGGGAGCAAACAGG
This 253-nucleotide ribosomal RNA is filed under the name uncultured Eubacteriales bacterium. Its description in RNAcentral is "uncultured Clostridiales bacterium partial 16S ribosomal RNA". It matches the Rfam family "Bacterial small subunit ribosomal RNA", at positions 524 to 776 of the family's 1533-position model. The record is from RNAcentral. Lineage: Bacteria; Bacillati; Bacillota; Clostridia; Eubacteriales.